Molecule: long non-coding RNA, 1226 nt
Filed under: Marmota monax (woodchuck)
Lineage: Eukaryota; Metazoa; Chordata; Mammalia; Rodentia; Sciuridae
Source: RNAcentral
CUGGCUCUGUGGCCACAGAUGAGCUCUGGAUCCACUCGCUCUCUGGCUCCUGGGGAUGGGCAGCCUCAGGCAAGCCACUUCACAGUUCUGAACCUCACUUUCUUAUGAAAUAAAGAAAACAGACUCCAGCAGGAUGAGUUGCCCUCAGGAUUGAAGAUCAUAAUCUACGUGAGCUACGUGCCUUUCUGUCUGUGUGUACACGUUUCCAACAAGCAGCAAUGAUUCAGAGGGCACUAAUUCAGUGUUCAUGUGACUGUAUAGAAUGCAACUGUUCGGAUGAGAAUUGACUCUACUAAUCUUAUGGCCCAGGUGGUAGAGGAAUCGUCAUCUACUUCUGAAAGCGAGCAGAGAGCAGGGUAAUCUGCUUAGGACUCAUCUUCCCAAGUUUGUAUAUUUACACUUUUGUCUAUUAUCUGAGUUUCACAAAGACUUAGAUGUGGUAGACCUGACACUUAAAGAUCACCUGUCUCUUUUCUUUCUGCUACCCCACCAUGGACCUUUUCUUUAAAUGAAAUCUGAUGUGAAAAUUUUAAUAUAUAAAUCAGAUAAAAGAAGAGCUGUAUCUUUGACAGAAGGGGCCCAGGGGAACCUGGAGUCUUGACAGCUGGGAUUUUCCUUAGUUCUUUCUACCCCCACCCUGAAAGGACCCCUGGGGCACUUGAGAGAACUUAAAAGAAGUUGAAGACUACUGAUUUAGCCUGACAUCCUCAUGGUCCAUGUAAUUGCAGACUCAGAGAGGUAAAUUCCCUCUGAGUGAAAUUAACAAAGUCCUAAAUAUAGAAGCCUCCAAUUCCUAUGAGAUAACUGGUCCCUCCCAAGUUGCCUACCCGAGGUACCUAAUGGCCAACCACAUCUUGCCUCAAAUCUGCCUUCUUUAUUCCAAAAAUACAGCAUCUCAGACAGAGUAAGGAAGGAUUCUUCUUCUUUGUUGACAAGGAAGACAUCACAAAUAUUUGCUGAUUUCAAUCCUAAAAUAGGAAAUAUUUAACGCUUUACUCUGUAUAUAAAUUCUGGCCGGUUGUAAUCCAAUUCAUAAUAUCAAGGGGGAAACCUUGGAUUUCAAGCUCAUAGAGCUCUCAUGAAAAAUAUAGAGAACUAUAAAGCUGUGUUAUAAAAGCUUGCUAUUCUCUCCUUGUUUUAAAAUUUUAAAUUAUAGCUCUUUUUGUCUGGGGGUGCAGUUCAGUGGUAGAGUGUGUGCUUAGCAUGAGCAAGGCCCUGGGUUCCGU